This 490-nucleotide ribosomal RNA is filed under the name uncultured bacterium. RNAcentral's name for it is "bacterial SSU rRNA". It matches the Rfam family "Bacterial small subunit ribosomal RNA", at positions 30 to 504 of the family's 1533-position model. The record is from RNAcentral.
CGAACGUUGGCGGCGUGGUUUAGGCAUGCAAGUCGAACGAGAAAGCGUCCUUCGGGACGUUAGUAAAGUGGCGAACUGGUGAGUAACAGGUGGGUAAUGUGCCUUCCGGUGGGGGAUAACCUCAAGAAAUUGAGGAUAAUACCGCAUAUGGCCCCGAGUUGUUGGACUCGGUGGUUAAAGGUGCGCUUCGCGCGUGCCGCUGGAAGAGCAGCCCGCUCCCGAUUAGCUUGUUGGUAGGGUAACGGCCUACCAAGGCUUUGAUCGGUAGGUGGCCUGAGAGGGUGGUCACUCACACUGGGACUGAGAUACGGCCCAGACUCCUACGGGGGGCAGCAGUCUAGAAGCUUCCACAAUGGGCGAAAGCCUGAUGGAGCGACGCCGCGUGCGGGAUUGAAGGUCGUGAGAUUGUAAACCGCUGUCAGCAGGGAAGAAUGCCCGGAUGGUGAAUCCGGGAGAGACGGUACCUGCAGAGGAAGCCCCGGCUAACUCC